AGAUAUUUAUAUUAUUAAUAGGAAAGUCAUAAAUAUAUAAAUUAUAUUAUAUAAUUAAUAUAAUAAUAAAAUAAAUUAUAUAUUUUAUUUAUAAUAUUAUUUCUUUAUAAGAUAAAUAUUAUCUAAUUAAUAAUUAGAUUGAAUAAUAUUUAUAAAGAAAUAUAUAUAUAUAUAAAAAGUCAUUAUAUAAAUUUAAUUAUAAUUUAAAUAAAUUUUAUAUAAAUUAAUAUAAUAUUAAUAAAGUAAUUAGUAUAAAUAAAUAAUAUGAAAAUAAAACUUAAUAAAUAUAUAAAUAUAGUCCGGCCCGCCCCGCGGGGCGGACCCCGCAGGAGUCCAUAUAUAUAUAUUAAUAAAAAAAAAGUAAUAUAUAUAUAUAUAUUGGAAUAGUUAUAUUAUUAUACAGAAAUAUGCUUAAUUAUAAUAUAAUAUCCA
This 432-nucleotide non-coding RNA is filed under the name Saccharomyces cerevisiae YJM1386. Lineage: Eukaryota; Fungi; Ascomycota; Saccharomycetes; Saccharomycetales; Saccharomycetaceae. The record is from RNAcentral.